Molecule: ribosomal RNA, 253 nt
Filed under: uncultured bacterium
Lineage: Bacteria
Description: partial 16S ribosomal RNA
Rfam family: Bacterial small subunit ribosomal RNA
Source: RNAcentral
UACGGAGGGUGCAAGCGUUGUCCGGAUUUAUUGGGUUUAAAGGGUGCGUAGGCGGCUCUUUAAGUCAGUGGUGAAAUCCUUCAGCUUAACUGUAGAAUUGCCAUUGAUACUGAAGAGCUUGAGUACAGACGAGGUAGGCGGAAUUUAUGGUGUAGCGGUGAAAUGCAUAGAUACCAUAAAGAACACCUAUUGCGAAGGCAGCUUACUAGGCUGUAACUGACGCUGAGGCACGAAAGCGUGGGGAUCAAACAGG